Long non-coding RNA from Mauremys mutica (yellowpond turtle), 4490 nucleotides. RefSeq lists it as uncharacterized. The transcript has 3 exons. The record is from RefSeq and is a predicted model, not a curated record. Lineage: Eukaryota; Metazoa; Chordata; Testudines; Geoemydidae.
UCGGAAAGUUCUUCUCAUUGGGGCAGAGAAGAUUCUUCCUCCGGACGGCAGUGCUGGCCAUCCACGACCCCCUGCUGCGUGUCAGCCAGGCUGGGCUGCGCCUCACCUACUCCCUCCUGGGAGAAGCCCAGCAGCUGAUGGGGGACAAGCAGGAGGACGUCAUGGCCAAUGUGAUGCACCAGCUCCACAUCAUCCAGCACUUGCACCAGGUGUCUGAGGUGCAGGGGCUCUGCCACUGAGGCCACCAGCAACUCCCGCUCCAUGCUUCAGGUACUGCUCUGGCUCCCUGUAAAUGGGGAGUGUAGUGAGUCUGAGUGGCUUCCCUCCGAGCGGGAGAGCAAGGGACCCCUACAUGCCCCUUGGAGGGUGGAGCUUAGAUCACCCCACCCCCCUCACCGGAAGGACCGGGGCAUGGCCAGAAGUAGAAAAGGCCGCCCCUGCAGCACAGUUUGGGGAGAACCUGCAACAGAGGAGGAUGCUUGGCCUGUUCUCCAGAGGCCCUGAGAGGAACCUGUGCCUGGCUGUUCCCGAUCCCCAGGCAUGGACAAGGACUAGCCCAGAGUAGCUGCUGUGGUUUACCCCGAGGAGCCGGAAGAGGCCUGGAGGCUGCAGGUACCAAACUCCAGGGAGGCAGGAAGUAGCCUGGGGGUAGCCCUGGAGCAGCCAGCUGCAGAGCCCAGCGUGGCUCAGACGGCGUGCUGCGGCUGGAUCCCUGCUGAUGCAGGGGCAGCAGCCAAUCCUGCCUCUGCCAGCGCCCUGGGCUGGGACGCGGUGGAGUAGGGUGGGCCUGUGUCCCCCUGCCACCCUACCACAGGUGGCUGACCCCCUACGUGGUACAAGGAGGCUCAAGCCCAGGACAGAAGCUUCCUUAUCACUCACCUGGAGGACUGUUUGCUGGCUGCCUGAGCCCUACUCAGGGUAGAGCCAGCCCUGUCAAGACUGUUUGUUUGUGAGCUGCUUGGGCCCCGCCCAGGCCAGAGCCACCCCUGAUAGACUGUGUUGAGAGGCUGACCACUUGAGCGACCCUAGCCCAGGUCGCAGCCUGGUAGCGACAGUUGAUCGCCCAGCCCUAUUGUGGGCCCCUGGCUACCCUGCACACUCUGGUCCGGACCAGACUGGGCCAGCCGGAGUGGCCUCCCUCUGAGCGGGAGAGCAAAGGAAGGGGAAAUGGAGCCCUUUGGCACUCACAGAAACUCUCUCCCCUCUCUGUGGAGCAGGGUCCUUCCCUCUGCCCCCCAAAUUCCUUCAUCUGGGGCAGGAGCUCUUUCCCUCACACCCACUCCCCUCCCCCCCUUUCCUUGGUCUACCCCCAUCCCAUUCCCCCUGCGCCCAGGCAGAGCUCUCCCUACCCCAUAUGGUGCAGAAAGGCCCUUUUGUCAGGGUCACAGCUCCAGCCCCACUGAAGCUCGGAAAGCUCCACUUUUGAGGAAGUGGAGGUGGGACAGAGGCUCAGGGCUAGCUUCAUCUCCUGCCCUUUAUUCUCCUCUUGGCCCUUCUAUGGGGGUCUCUGGAUGUGAAAAGAAUAGGAGCCUCCUUCCCAGCUGUCUUCCAGGCCCUGGGAUCUGGGACAGCUUCCCAGAUGGACAGGAGGGAUAGCUCAGUGGUUUGAGCAUUGGCCUGCUAAACCCAGGGUUGUGAGUUCAAUCCUUGAGGGGGCCAUUUGGGGAUUGGUCCUGCUUUGAGCAGGGAGUUGGACUAGAUGAUCUCCUGAGGUCCCUUCCAACCCUAAUAAUCUAUGAUUCUAUGAUCUUGUAAGGGAGCAGUGGGGACAGGUUACCUUGUCCCAUCCAAGCAAGCAAUGCUGGCCCUCAAAGAGGCUUAGAUGGAAGACCCCACUGUCUCGUGGAGGAAGGGGCUCCCCAGAGACGUCCUUGAAUCUGGAUUCCUGAGAGCGUUUCUGGCAGGAGGCUCCAGCCCUCGGGCAUGAGAAAGCAUCAGGCAGUCUCAAUCACAUGGCAGUUCCACUUCCCGCAGCAGGGCAAACCAACCCAUCAGCUCCCGGAAUCACAACUCUUUGACUUCCUUCCGCUCAUCAGUGAGGUUUCUCCAGCACUCUCACCAAACCUGUCAGCCUAUGAAUGAUGAAGGGCCUGAAUGUCAGAGUCACCAGAACAAGCAAACUCCAGUUCCAGGCAGUGGGGCCUGUGUGUACUCAACCCCCUAGAAACCGGGUCUGAAAUGGGGAGCAAGGACCCCUGGCCAGUAACAGUAGGAGUGGCAGAGCAGGCCUGUAAAAGGGUGCUUUCCCCUGGACUGCACAGCCUGGGGCCUAGCCAGCUGAUUAUAGAAUGAGCCCUAACUGAGAGGCAAAAGUGGUGAGAGGCCUGUGGGUGCAGGCUGUACAAGUGCAUAGCCGGUGACAGCGACGAGAUGAUGAGGGAUGAAGCUUGGACAAGAAUAGUACUUGCCCCUCGUGUUUGCCAGUUUCUAAGGAGGAGCGUAUAUGACAGGGGAGCUUAGUCUCUGAGCAAUAAAGCCUGGAGAUAGGUCAAAUGGAUUACAGAGUGAGCUCCACCUGAGGGGAAAGCCAGGGAAAACCGCAACAAAGGUACAGGAGCAGGCCUAGCUGUUUGGUAGAGGGCCUUGAGGCAGAACCUAGAAUCCAGGGUAGGACUGGUUCUCCCAUGGUCUCUAAGGAAGGGGACGUACAAGGCCAGAGAAAGGGCUACCAAAGUCAGCAAGGGCAGACCAAGCCAAAGUCAGGCUGAGGAAAACCCCGAAGGGACGGAGGACCUUGUUUCGGUUAAAGACAUUCUUGGACUUUUCUUUUGGGAUGAGCGCGACCCAGGAAGGAGUGGAAUAAAAGAUGGUCACCUGGCCAAAGGGCUGAGUUCCCAGGCAAAAAACUGCCAGAGUGCCCUACCGACUCUCGGCAGGGGUGCUAGCCCAGCAGGCACCAGGCCUUGGCAGGAAGGGGCACCUAUUGACGAGUGAACUCUGUUACAAGCCUGCUUCCAUUAUGGAAACACUCUGGUAUUGGAGAGGGGUGGGGAUGGCCUAUGGGAGAAGAUGGCUGGAGGGGUCAUACAGAAGCGGCAGCAGGGUGCAGUGAUGAGAGCAGGGAACAGGUUAUACUGCAGCCCUGCCACUGAGUGGUAACGUGAUCCUGGCCAGGUCACUCUCCCACCUGGUGCCUCACUUUCUCUAUCUUUGAAAUGGGGAUCAUCCUGUCCCACAUUAAGAAAGUGUUUGAUCCUCUGCUUUUGCUUCCCAAAUCCCUGCCCUCCUUGCCGCACACAGGCCUCUGCCCUGUUCCUCAAACUUCUGUGCCCAUGUUAGUGCCUGGGUCGCCCUGCAACUGCAAGGUCUCAUGUACAGUCUCCUGCCAGCAAACUGAAACCGCCCCUAGAUCCAGAAUAGGAAUCGCAGUUCAUGUGCACUUCCCUCAAUGGAGUAUAGACCACAGGCAUGAGGAAGGCCAACACUCACAUCCAGGUAGAUCAUCAACCUACUCCUCUGUCCCAGGAGCAGAAAGACCUCUGGUUCUUGCUCUCUGGGUAGCUGGAGCUGCUAAAUUGGGGGUGUGGUGGGCCAUUGGGCCACCCGUGGUCAGGCCUGUCAGUGCAGAGCAGCAUUUAACCAGUUACCAAUCCAUGAGAGUACCUUAUGAUGUAUGUGUAUAACACAAUUCUUCAUUGAAUCAGUUGAUUCAAUUGCUUAUUCUUUGGGGUUCAGACCCUCUGUUCUCUUCAGCUCUUCCCAUCUCUCUCAUGUCUGAGCGGUUCUGAGGAAUUCAUUACGACUCCUCAGGGGAAGGGCUUUCAGGCCUUGAGCCUUCUCUCAGGAUCCUCCUCAUUGUGGUUCCAGAGCUCUGCAAAUCAGGUUUGUUCAGGAAGACCUAUUUUCCAUGAAACCAUGGUGACUGUCAUUGAUUCUACUUCUAUUCUUGCUUCAUUGUUCAUUGAAUCCCCUACCAACUUUUAUAUUAUUUUGCCGGGGACUGACAUCAGGUUAACCAGCAUAUAAUUUUCCAGGUCAUCCCACUUGCAUUUUUUAAAUAUUGGUACAACAUUAGUUCUUCCUCUCUGCUGUAAUUUCCCCACCAUUUCAAGAUUUAUCAAUAAUUAACAUCAGUGUCUCAGAGAAUGCCUCAGACAACUUUUUUAGAACUCUUGGCUGAAAGCUAUAUGAGCUGGUUAUUUAAAAUGUUUAUCACUAUAAGAUAUUGUUUAAGUCCUCCUUAGUUAUCAUGUGUCCUAAAGAUGAACAGUUCCAUAUCCCAUUACUCCCAGCCUGAGACAGGCAGUGCCUCCUAUUUCCCCCACACCCCCCCAGCCCUGGGCACUCCUUUCACAGCUGCCCAUCCAGAAUCCCUCACAACUAUUCUGUCAUAUCCUGUAGUCAUCAUAUUACCCAUUUCCUGGUGGGGGCCAGGGCUCUUCUUUGGGGACCCAGGACAGUUUGUAUUGGGAUCUUGGGUCUUCAUCCCAUCCCAUCCCAUCCCACCUUCUCCUGGAUACCAGGGGAAAGAAUUGUGCCCAGGCCUGGAA